UUCAAAUUCAUCUCAAUUGUAGCCUAUUUUGAACCAAAUGUGAUUAGUUUAAAAUCUUAUUUUAAAAGAUUUAAUCACAUCCACCCAUUUCAUUUCUAUCAAAUAUCAAGAUCCAAUCUCAACCACUCAUCAAAAUCGAUCAACAGUCCAUAUCAAAAGGCCAUUUAUUUCCUAUUUUAAUUCAAAAGACCCAAAAUCCUGAAACUAAUUUUAUUUUUCCUUUUUCCAUCAUCAAAAAGACUCACUCUCUCUCCACUCUUCAUCUUCUCCAAAGAGAAGAGAAGACAACAACCGCCGCCGCACACCCUAACUCCGGCGAGAUCGUCGCCACCAUCAUCAUCUCCCUCACAAUACUCUUCUCCUCAUCUCCUCCCAAACUCACAUCGCUCCCUCCGGUGAAGAUGGUUGGACGAGCAGCCAUCGCUGCUGCACCACCACGCCUCCUCUCUUUAUUUCUCUCUACGACGUCACCUUUCUCCCUCCUCCAUAUCCAGCGAACUCCAGCAGCAACCAGCAACACGGACAGCAGCUCCAAUCGGCAGCAACGCCGCCGGCAGCGAGCAACCAGCUCCGCCAAAAACCCCUCCGUCGUCCUCUUCCCCACCACCACCAACAACGAGGCUAGCAGCAGUCUAAUGAUCCUUCAAAGCUUGAUAGUUGGGCAUAUAUUUUAGAUCUAAUUGGUUCAAAGAUGGAUCUACAAGAUCCGUUCCGGGAUUUGGAUUUCAAAGGCAAGAAAUGAAGAUGUUCAUUUGGAACAGGAUUCAAAUAGUUUUAGUUUCGGUUAUUAUUUCUAUUUGUGUAUUAUUCUUUCUUAAUUAUUUUGACAUGUAAUAAUAAACUCUCUAUACAAUAGAAAGGGGAGAAUACAUGGGAAGGGAUAUACUUGCUACUUGCUACUUGCUUAAAGGGGGCAGCCCGGUGCACUUAAGCUCCCGCUACUUGCUUAUUUUAUUUAUUUAUUAGUUUAUCAUAAAUUUAUGUGUGUUUGGGAUA
Molecule: long non-coding RNA, 996 nt
Organism: Solanum dulcamara
Lineage: Eukaryota; Viridiplantae; Streptophyta; Magnoliopsida; Solanales; Solanaceae
Exons: 2
Source: RefSeq, a predicted model, not a curated record